GUGUGGCAACACAUGGAGCUGACUGUUACUAAUCGAUCGAGGGCUUGACCAAA
This 53-nucleotide ribosomal RNA is filed under the name Roseburia inulinivorans. RNAcentral describes it as "partial 23S ribosomal RNA". The record is from RNAcentral. Lineage: Bacteria; Bacillati; Bacillota; Clostridia; Lachnospirales; Lachnospiraceae.